UAUGAUAAUUCUAUUUUUAGUUUUUAAAAGAAUCUUCAUUAUGUUUUCCAUAGUGGCUCACCAAUUUACAUUCCAACCAAUGGUGUAAGAGGGUUCCCUUUUCUGUAUAUUCUCUCCAUCAGUUAUUAUUUGUAGACCAUUUUAAUGAUGGCCAUUCUGACCAGUGUGAGGUGAUACAUCAUUGUUGUUUUGAUUUGCAUUUCUUUAAUAAUUAGUGAUGUUGAACUUCUCUUCAUGCAACUGUUGGCCGUCUGUAUGUACAUGUUUUGUUUGUUCCUGGUUUAUUCUUUCACCAUUAAGCAUAAUGUUAGGUGUAGAUUUUUUUUUUUGUAGAUGUUCUUUAUUAAAUGGAAGAAAUUUCACUCUCUCCCUAUUUUCCCAAGUAUUUUUGUAUUUUUAUGAGUGUGGCAGGUUACUUAUGUUUCUUGACCUUGAAGAAGACACUUUCUGUAGGAGAGAUCCUGUGCAUCCCAGCAGAUCACUCCGCUCUGCAUCCAAGCUCUAUGCUCUGAGGGUUUUCCCCCUAAGAGGGCUGUAUGGGUCUCUCUGUUGUGGGUGGACAACAUGGACAGUCUUAUAGGCCUGGUUGGCUCCUUAGCCCAGUUGGUUGCCAAGCCCUGUCCUGUGCCACAUGCUGCCAGCCUCUAGUUAGUAGGGCCUGGUCUGCUAACUGCAGAGCCCCAGGGGCCCCUGGAGCUAGUGCUGGCUCAUUGGUAGACAGAGUCAGGGUCCAGAACACUCUAAGGCUGUUGCCCCCACAUUGGUGGGUGAAGCCAGGUGCUGGGAUUUGUGCCAGACCACCGGCAGGCCAAGUCGGGUUCUGGACUCUGGCCACAAGGUCUAGGGAUCUCAGAGAUGCUGUCAGAUUGAUAGUGGUCAUGGUGGGGAGUGGUUCCUGAACACAGUUGGGGAUUGGGGUCUGGGGUAUCCUGAAGCUUGUGUUGGCCUGCAAGACCAGAGCUCAGCUGGUCCCAGGAUAGGGUGUGGCCUGCUGCGUGGGUAGGCUGGGUGAUUGUGGUUUCCUUGCAUCUGGUGUCUGCACCUUGGUAGGUGAGUCUGGCUAGAGGCUUGUGCAAGCUUCCUGGAAGGCAGGGCUGGUGCCUUCCCACUGGCGCGUGGAGCUGGUUCUUGGCCCCUCUGGUGGGCGGGGCUGUGUGUAGGGAGUUGUCUAGAGGUGGCUGUGGGCUAGGGAAGCCUUUAGGCAGCUGCUUGCUGUUGGCUGGGUCUGUGUCCCGCCCAAUUAGUUGUUUGGCCUGAGGAGAACUAGAGCCAGGGGGUCUACAAGCUUUUGGGUGUGGCUAGCGCUAAAGAGCUAGAGGGAGGAGCCCAGGAUAGAGCUGCAGCUGCCAGCACUAAGCUGGGAAUGUUCCCAAACAUGGCUGCUGCCAGCGUCAACACACCCUCCCCAUCCCAUCUGCCCUCACCUCUGGAGGAGAUACUCCUAGAUCAGCAGAUCUCCCAAUAUAUGUAAGAGAGAAAGAAGACAUUAUCAGUUACAAGAAAAAAGGAAAAAAAAAAGGGAAGGAAAUGGAAAGGAGCCAACAGAGGAAGCAACCACUGAUGUGGGACGCCCAGCACUCAGUGCCUCCAGCUGCCCUCUCCAUCCCGGUAGGUCACAUGAUGUGCAGAAGGUGGACUGGGUCCAAAGACCCACCCAUGAUUGCUUUUUUGGUCCAUUUUGAUUAUCUGGCAAUUUAAUUGCAGUUAAGUUGAACUGAAAUUGUCUUGUGACUUAGUUGUGGGUUCUUCUCCACCCCAGAGGUUGUGUUUGGUUGUUGUUGAAAGUCACAUGUCUUGGGACACAUUUCCUUGUGGAAGAUGUGAGAAUAGCAUGCACUGUAUGGGAGACGGAAUCCUGUAUCACCUCGUAGCAUCCUAUAUUAUCAUGGCAUUGCCAUUUUGGAACAGAGCCUUGUCUGUUUCUGGUACAAGGCAGGGCAUAGUGCUGAGGAGCCAGACAGCCCAUGGUCUGCAAGGAGGAAGGACACAUGUGGGAGAGGUUGUGGGCAGUGAUACUGACCAUCAACUUAGAAGUGAGUGAGGGAGAAGCGUGGGGAUAGGAAUGAGCCCCAAGCCGGCAGGAUAGACUCCAAGUAGUGGAAGGAAGAUCCUGAAGCACAAAUGUGGUAAGUCUUCAGUUUGAUUUGCGUCUGGCCUCAGAUGGAGCCCAUCUCCAAGACUAAGCAUUAACCUUACUCACAACUGGACUUGUCCCCAGGCUCACUAAGCUCUAACCAAGCCUCCAUGUUAAUUCUGACUCAGCACAGCUGAGCCUUAGCCCCAAUCAUGAACAAUCCUGUUUAUUCAUUCAAAUAAUAUUUAUUUAGUGCUUACAGAUUUCUGACCUUGAGUCCUCCUUAACUUUUCUCAGUAUUGGAAUUAAAUUUAAUGAGAUGAUAUGUGUGCCAGGUUAGUGCAGCUCCUGUGCACAGCAAUUACCAUUUCAGACUUUCACCAUAAUGAGCCCUAAUGAUCCCCAUCACUGUUGAGAGAACAGUAGUCUUCUCAGGGUGCAAAGAGGG
Non-coding RNA from Sus scrofa (pig), 2522 nucleotides. The record is from RefSeq and is a predicted model, not a curated record. Lineage: Eukaryota; Metazoa; Chordata; Mammalia; Artiodactyla; Suidae.